GACGAACGCUGGCGGCGUGCUUAACACAUGCAAGUCGAACGGUAAGGCUCCAGCUUGCUGGGGUACACGAGUGGCGAACGGGUGAGUAACACGUGGGUGACCUGCCCUGCACUUCGGGAUAAGCCUGGGAAACUGGGUCUAAUACCGGAUAGGACCAUGGGGUGGAUACUGUGGUGGACAGUUUUUUCGGUGUGGGAUGGGCCCGCGGCCUAUCAGCUUGUUGGUGGGGUAAUGGCCUACCAAGGCGGCGACGGGUAGCCGGCCUGAGAGGGUGGACGGCCACAUUGGGACUGAGACACGGCCCAGACUCCUACGGGAGGCAGCAGUGGGGAAUAUUGCACAAUGGGCGGAAGCCUGAUGCAGCGACGCCGCGUGGGGGAUGACGGCCUUCGGGUUGUAAACUCCUUUCACCAUCGACGAAGGGUUUCUGACGGUAGAUGGAGAAGAAGCACCGGCUAACUACGUG
This 466-nucleotide ribosomal RNA is filed under the name uncultured bacterium. Its description in RNAcentral is "partial 16S ribosomal RNA". It matches the Rfam family "Bacterial small subunit ribosomal RNA", at positions 28 to 507 of the family's 1533-position model. The record is from RNAcentral.